Molecule: ribosomal RNA, 1043 nt
Filed under: Lactobacillus sp. F11
Lineage: Bacteria; Bacillati; Bacillota; Bacilli; Lactobacillales; Lactobacillaceae
Description: bacterial SSU rRNA
Rfam family: Bacterial small subunit ribosomal RNA
Source: RNAcentral
GCGUGCCUAUAACAUGCAAGUCGAACGAGUUCUGAUUAUUGAAAGGUGCUUGCAUCUUGAUUUAAUUUUGAACGAGUGGCGGACGGGUGAGUAACACGUGGGUAACCUGCCCUUAAGUGGGGGAUAACAUUUGGAAACAGAUGCUAAUACCGCAUAAAUCCAAGAACCGCAUGGUUCUUGGCUGAAAAUGGCUAAGCUAUCGCUUUUGGAUGGACCCGCGCUAUUACCUAGUUGGUGAGUAACUGGCCACCAAGGCAAUGAUCGUUCCUAACUGAGAGGUGAUCGUCACUUGGACUGAGACACGGCCCAAACUCUACGGGAGGCAGCAGUAGGGAAUCUUCCACAAUGGACGCAAGUCUGAUGGAGCAACGCCGCGUGAGUGAAGAAGGCUUUCGGGUCGUAAAACUCUGUUGUUGGAGAAGAAUGGUCGGCAGAGUAACUGUUGUCGGCGUGACGGUAUCCAACCAGAAAGCCACGGCUAACUACGUGCCAGCAGCCGCGGUAAUACGUAGGUGGCAAGCGUUAUCCGGAUUUAUUGGGCGUAAAGCGAGCGCAGCGGUUUUUUAAGUCUGAUGUGAAAGCCCUCGGCUUAACCGAAGAAGUGCAUCGGAAACUGGGAAACUUGAGUGCAGAAGAGGACAGUGGAACUCCAUGUGUAGCGGUGAAAUGCGUAAUAUAUGGAAGAACACCAGUGGCGAAGGCGGCUGUUGGUUGUAACUACGCUGAGGCUGAAAGCAUGGGUAGCGAACAGGAUUAGAUACCCUGGUAGUCCAUGCCGUAAACGAUGAAUGCUAGGUGUUGGAGGGUUUCCGCCCUUCAGUGCCGCAGCUAACGCAUUAAGCAUUCCGCCUGGGGAGUACGACCGCAAGGUUGAAACUCAAAGGAAUUGACGGGGGCCCGCACAAGCGGUGGAGCAUGUGGUUUAAUUCGAAGCAACGCGAAGAACCUUACCAGGUCUUGACAUCUUUUGAUCACUUGAGAGAUCAGGUUUCCCUUCGGGGGCAAAAUGACAGGUGGUGCAUGUUGUCGUCAGCUCGUGUCGU